RNAcentral lists this ribosomal RNA (484 nucleotides) under uncultured bacterium. RNAcentral describes it as "partial 16S ribosomal RNA". It matches the Rfam family "Bacterial small subunit ribosomal RNA", at positions 29 to 507 of the family's 1533-position model. The record is from RNAcentral.
AUUGAACGCUGGCGGCAUGCUUUACACAUGCAAGUCGAACGGCAGCGCGGGCUUCGGCCUGGCGGCGAGUGGCGAACGGGCGAGUAAUGCAUCGGAACGUGCCCAGUAGUGGGGGAUAGCCCGGCGAAAGCCGGAUUAAUACCGCAUACGACCUGAGGGUGAAAGCGGGGGACCGAAAGGCCUCGCGCUAUUGGAGCGGCCGAUGUCGGAUUAGCUAGUUGGUGGGGUAAAGGCUUACCAAGGCGACGAUCCGUAGCUGGUCUGAGAGGACGACCAGCCACACUGGGACUGAGACACGGCCCAGACUCCUACGGGAGGCAGCAGUGGGGAAUUUUGGACAAAGGGGGCAACCCUGAUCCAGCCAUGCCGCGUGCGGGAAGAAGGCCUUCGGGUUGUAAACCGCUUUUGUUCGGGAAGAAAUCCUCUGGGCUAAUACCCCGGGGGGAUGACGGUACCGGAAGAAUAAGCACCGGCUAACUACGUG